Molecule: ribosomal RNA, 465 nt
Filed under: uncultured bacterium
Lineage: Bacteria
Description: partial 16S ribosomal RNA
Rfam family: Bacterial small subunit ribosomal RNA
Source: RNAcentral
GACGAACGCUGGCGGCGUGCUUAACACAUGCAAGUCGAACGGAAAGGCCCCUUUGGGGGUCCUCGAGUGGCGAACGGGUGAGUAACACGUGAGUAACCUGCCCUUGACUUCGGGAUAACUUCAGGAAACUGGGGCUAAUACCGGAUAGGAAUCCUUGCUGCAUGGUGGGGGUUGGAAAGCUUCGGCGGUUUUGGAUGGACUCGCGGCUUAUCAGCUUGUUGGUGGGGUAGUGGCUUACCAAGGCUUUGACGGGUAGCCGGCCUGAGAGGGCGACCGGCCACAUUGGGACUGAGAUACGGCCCAGACUCCUACGGGAAGCAGCAGUGGGGAAUAUUGCACAAUGGGCGGAAGCCUGAUGCAGCAACGCCGCGUGCGGGAUGACGGCCUUCGGGUUGGAAACCGCUUUCAGCAGGGGCGAAGCUUGUGGUGACGGUACCUGCAGAAGAAGCACCGGCUAACUACGUG